RNAcentral lists this ribosomal RNA (710 nucleotides) under Heyndrickxia ginsengihumi. RNAcentral describes it as "bacterial SSU rRNA". It matches the Rfam family "Bacterial small subunit ribosomal RNA", at positions 59 to 749 of the family's 1533-position model. Lineage: Bacteria; Bacillati; Bacillota; Bacilli; Caryophanales; Bacillaceae. The record is from RNAcentral.
CAGUCGAGCGAACUGAUGAAGAGCUUGCUUUUGAUCAGUUAGCGGCGGACGGGUGAGUAACACGUGGGUAACCUGCCUGUAAGACUAGGAUAACUCCGGGAAACCGGGGCUAAUACUGGAUAACUUUUCUCUCCGCAUGGAGGGAGAUUGAAAGAUGGCUUCGGCUAUCACUUACAGAUGGACCCGCGGCGCAUUAGCUAGUUGGUGAGGUAACGGCUCACCAAGGCAACGAUGCGUAGCCGACCUGAGAGGGUGAUCGGCCACAUUGGGACUGAGACACGGCCCAAACUCCUACGGGAGGCAGCAGUAGGGAAUCUUCCGCAAUGGACGAAAGUCUGACGGAGCAACGCCGCGUGAGUGAAGAAGGUCUUCGGAUCGUAAAACUCUGUUGUUAGGGAAGAACAAGUAUCGUUCGAAUAGGGCGGUACCUUGACGGUACCUAACCAGAAAGCCACGGCUAACUACGUGCCAGCAGCCGCGGUAAUACGUAGGUGGCAAGCGUUGUCCGGAAUUAUUGGGCGUAAAGCGCGCGCAGGCGGUCUUUUAAGUCUGAUGUGAAAGCCCACGGCUCAACCGUGGAGGGUCAUUGGAAACUGGAAGACUUGAGUGCAGAAGAGGAGAGUGGAAUUCCACGUGUAGCGGUGAAAUGCGUAGAGAUGUGGAGGAACACCAGUGGCGAAGGCGACUCUCUGGUCUGUAACUGACGCUGA